AGAGUUUGAUCCUGGCUCAGGACGAACGCUGGCGGCAUGCCUAACACAUGCAAGUCGAACGGGAUCCAGGCUUCGGCCUGGUGAGAGUGGCGGACGGGUGAGUAACGCGUGGGAACCUGCCCAAUGGUCUGGGAUAACCGCGGGAAACUGCGGCUAAUACCGGAUAAGCCCGAGAGGGGAAAGAUUUAUCGCCGAUGGAGGGGCCCGCGUCCGAUUAGGUAGUUGGUGGGGUAAUGGCCUACCAAGCCUACGAUCGGUAGCUGGUCUGAGAGGAUGAUCAGCCACACUGGGACUGAGAUACGGCCCAGACUCCUACGGGAGGCAGCAGUGGGGAAUAUUGGACAAUGGGGGCAACCCUGAUCCAGCAAUGCCGCGUGAGUGAUGAAGGCCUUAGGGUUGUAAAGCUCUUUUGCCAGGGACGAUGAUGACGGUACCUGGAGAAUAAGCCCCGGCUAACUUCGUGCCAGCAGCCGCGGUAAUAC
This 482-nucleotide ribosomal RNA is filed under the name uncultured bacterium. RNAcentral's name for it is "bacterial SSU rRNA". It matches the Rfam family "Bacterial small subunit ribosomal RNA", at positions 8 to 526 of the family's 1533-position model. The record is from RNAcentral.